CAGUCGCCGCGGUAAUACAGAGGAUGCAAGCGUUAUCCGGAAUGAUUGGGCGUAAAGCGUCUGUAGGUGGCUUUUCAAGUCCGCCGUCAGAUCCCAGGGCUCAACCCUGGACAGGCGGUGGAAACUACCAAGCUGGAGUACGAUAGGGGCAGAGGGAAUUUCCGGUGGAGCGGUGAAAUGCGUAGAGAUGUGGAGGAACACCAGUGGCGAAGGCGACUCUCUGGUCUGUAACUGACGCUGAGGAGCGAAAGCGUGGGGAGCGAACAGGAUUAGAUACCCGUGUAGUCCCUGUCUCUUAUAC
RNAcentral lists this ribosomal RNA (301 nucleotides) under uncultured bacterium. RNAcentral's name for it is "partial 16S ribosomal RNA". It matches the Rfam family "Bacterial small subunit ribosomal RNA", at positions 509 to 807 of the family's 1533-position model. The record is from RNAcentral.